RNAcentral lists this ribosomal RNA (497 nucleotides) under uncultured bacterium. RNAcentral's name for it is "partial 16S ribosomal RNA". It matches the Rfam family "Bacterial small subunit ribosomal RNA", at positions 28 to 507 of the family's 1533-position model. The record is from RNAcentral.
GAUGAACGCUGGCGGCGUGCCUAAUACAUGCAAGUCGAGCGAACAGACGAGGAGCUUGCUCCUCUGACGUUAGCGGCGGACGGGUGAGUAACACGUGGAUAACCUACCUAUAAGACUGGGAUAACUUCGGGAAACCGGAGCUAAUACCGGAUAAUAUAUUGAACCGCAUGGUUCAAUAGUGAAAGACGGUUUUGCUGUCACUUAUAGAUGGAUCCGCGCCGCAUUAGCUAGUUGGUAAGGUAACGGCUUACCAAGGCAACGAUGCGUAGCCGACCUGAGAGGGUGAUCGGCAACACUGGAACUGGACCACGGUCCAGACUCCUACGGGAGGCAGCAGUAGGGAAUCUUCCGCAAUGGGCGAAAGCCUGACGGAGCAACGCCGCGUGAGUGAUGAAGGUCUUCGGAUCGUAAAACUCUGUUAUUAGGGAAGAACAAAUGUGUAAGUAACUAUGCACGUCUUGACGGUACCUAAUCAGAAAGCCACGGCUAACUACGUG